RNAcentral lists this long non-coding RNA (993 nucleotides) under Anser cygnoides (Swan goose). Its description in RNAcentral is "lncRNA (ENSACDG00005006401.1)". The record is from RNAcentral. Lineage: Eukaryota; Metazoa; Chordata; Aves; Anseriformes; Anatidae.
CCAUUGCAGCCACUGGGAACGGACCUGGAGGGCUGUAGCUUUAGUAGGGGCCCCUGGACUGCAUGCUGCGUGCAGUUGGCAUUCUUCACCUGUGCUUCUGAGGUAGCUCUUCCAGUUCUGUUUUGUCCAAAAGGAAUCCAGGCUGCGCAACUGGGGCCUGCUCUGUGAUGCAAAGUGCAGCACGAGCCUGUCAUACAGAAGUACCAUUUUACAGAGCACAGACACAGAGAGAAUUAAUGAUGUGCAUAAGUCUGCGUAAGGAAAUAUGUUACAGAACUGAUCUUGGGUUUUCUCAGCUUCCGAUGUUUAGCCACUGGACUGGCUCUCCUCGUGCUCCGCAGCACAGUUACAUUCCUUUGUGGCUGUGGCUCUUGGUCAUCCCAUCCAGCACUGCCAAGGAGGCUGCCACAGAUACAGCGAUCAGAAGUUCCAUCAAGAAGACCCUUAUUGACCACGUUUUCUCCUUGCAUCCUGCGUUACAGAAUGGUUGGUUAUACACCUGCCUUUGUGAAGUCAGCUGGAGCUCAGAAGUUGGUUGUACUGAGCUUGGAGACCACAUUCAGACCAAAGCUAAUCUGCACGUUUUUGGUGUAGUUUUGGCAGCAAUUCACCAUUCUGUGCUUACCAUAUGGAGAAAAGGGUUGGGUGUACCUGGGACUGUUUGGCUAUUUGGAGACUGCACUGUGGGCUCCCUUUUUGCAGGGUUCAGUCCUGCUCCAGUGAAAUUGAGGAAAGUUAAGCCCUUGUCCACAUUUGGGGCUAGCUCCAGUCUGCCUACCUGUUAGAUGUAAACACUGCUGCUUUCCCCACAACCCUGCCUGACAGUGCCUCUCUUGGUAACCUCACCAGCUCUGUCUCCAAACUCUCUUCUACCCUCAGCCUACGUGGUUUACCCAGCCCUGUUUGCUGCCCUUCCUUGCCAUCUCUAAUCACAAGUAACAUCGAUGCACAGCCGUGAAUAAAUACUUCUUUAUAGAGAAAAGGAAAGCUGUC